This 1155-nucleotide long non-coding RNA is filed under the name Triticum aestivum (bread wheat). RNAcentral's name for it is "long non-coding RNA (TAES_LNC014990)". Lineage: Eukaryota; Viridiplantae; Streptophyta; Magnoliopsida; Poales; Poaceae. The record is from RNAcentral.
UCCGUUAAAUUUUAGGUAUGUCCAAGGCCCAUUGGUUUCAAUCUCAACAAUUAGCCAUCUAAUUUCUCUUGGUCCAUCUACAAACAAUUGCAAAUUCUGAGCCAGUAUACAUUUUACAAAAGAUGUAUGCACAUGUCAUUAAAUAAAAGAAAAAAUACAUAUGUUCCUUAAAAAAAUACAUACACACCGCAGAAAAUAUUACACAAAAACUUUAAACUACGGAUAUUUCCUGACAGUACAUCUGCAAAGGACCACCAAAAUAGAAUAAACUAAAAAUACAAACUCCCAAUCCUAAUUCUGUCUAAGGGUGUGGGUAUUCCUUGGAUUUCUCGACGGAGAUCCGGCCAUCCCUGCUGAUGUUAUUGAAGAGAGAACCUUAUCCGCCAGUAUCAGGCCUCAACCCAUGGUCGACAUUGCCUGCGCGUGGACAAACCUUAAGACAGCCUGAAAAAAAAUCAAAAGUAUAGAGGAAAGAGGACCUGGUGGAGCGAGCGGCUCAUAGCAGCGCGGUAGUCAGAGAAUCCGGCGGUGAGGACUGCGUAGGCAACGUAUGCGGGCCCCCUGGCGAUAGAGGAUGGCAGCCUCCUAGCAGGGCGCAUCCGCAGCUGCUGGGCCCGGUGGCGGCUCUAUGCAUCCCCGCGGUUCAGCACGCCCACGAUGGGGUCGCUCGCUCCCUGCAGCGAUAUGGGCGCGACCUGCAUCGACGAGACCGGCUCCGCGUUGUGCACUAGGGGCUGGAUCGGGGAGUGGAGGCUAGAGGUGAGGAAAGGGGGUCGGGGAGUGGAGGUUAGAGGUGAGGGAAGGGGAUGUGGUAGUUGCCGCAAGUGUGCAGGGAGGAAGGACGCCCGUUGCCGCGCCGUUAUCCUCCCACGGUUGCCGUGGACUCGCGGAUCUCAGCCGGAUUUGGCCAGAGGAGGGGACACUACGGCGGGGCGGUGGGAGUGCAGGCAGCGCGGCCGGUUGAGGGGAAGCUGGGCACGGCGGGGAGGCGUCAGAACAGGAGGAUGUGUGCACGAGGGGAGGAGCCAGGAGGGGAGGAGGUGGGUACGGCGGGCUGGCGGCAUGAGAGGAAGAAGGUGGGUUGGUGCGGCGUGGGGGCGCUGGUCACGGGCGGAGAUAACGCGUGGGUGGGCUGAAGAACAAUCAAGAAAGAGG